This is a non-coding RNA of Zonotrichia albicollis (white-throated sparrow), 726 nucleotides long. The record is from RefSeq and is a predicted model, not a curated record. Lineage: Eukaryota; Metazoa; Chordata; Aves; Passeriformes; Passerellidae.
CCCUGACAGAUGCUCGCUAACACAACUUGAGAACUGAAACUACAUUUUCUUAUUGGAAAUAGUGAAAAUUAUGCAGAUUUAUCAUUUCUUCCCAGCUGACAAAGUCAAAAGAUCUUCCUGCGUAUCUUCUUUAUCGAUGGUUCUACUAAAGGAAACCUGAAUUUGCUUUCAUAGAGAAGAACUUAAUAAUCCAGAUCUCCUGGAUUGGAAAAAUCUUGAACUUCUGAGGGAGCAGCAUCUCAUCUGUAUUACCUCCCUGCUGUUCCUGGACAAAUCUUCUCCCAGACCUAUCUGAAAUUCAUGGAAAACACUUCAUACCCCAUGGAUAUUGUACUUGAAAAGGACAUAUAGGCACAUUGGAAUAAGAUCAAGCACCUCUCUUCUCUUCGUUCUAACGGGACACUUGAAAAAUUCCAUUCUAAUUUUUUCUGGCCUGGUAAAAUGGAAUAUUGUCAUUUGGAACUUCCUUGGGUACUGUCAUUUUUUCUUAUAUAUUAUGAGGUUGUACUACCAAUCUUACAAUUUUAAACCACAAGGAAUGUUAAGACAGGAGUCAGUAUCACUGCAUAUGUCAUAAGCAUUUUCUCCUGGUUUGACUUCUUUUAGAUGGGUUGGAAAGCCCCACAUGGGCUUGGAAAACUAUCUGAGAUGUUUCCUAUUUGUGGCCUGGAUAAAGUGGAGAAGAAGAAAACUUAGUCCAAAGAGAGGGGUGAGUUGUUAAGUAAG